AUUUUAGGUGAUGACGCUCUAGUUUUCUCCAAGGAAUGAAAACACAAAGUUCGGCCUCACAUGAGGUGGUGAAGUUUCAUUUAACUUACGUGGACUGCCCAGAAGGGGGACCUUUCAUCUGACCUGCCUCUCUCUGCAGAGUUAAUGAUUAUCCCAGGAGAAACACUAUUUUUCCAGAGAAGAUCCUGUUUCAUUUUUGGUCUGAGCUACAUUUAUUGUCUCUGAACCGUGAACUUCAAACCCGUGGAAAGGAAUGUUGUGUUGGCUUGUUGUGUUUAAAGGUGUAAUGGAAAUUGAGUUCACUAAAGGAAAAGUCUACAUCUAGUUUUGCUUGUUUUACAGCUUUGUUGAAAUACUUUCCCCUCACGAUGUGUCAAUCGUAACUUGCUUUGAAAAUUAAUGUCUAUAGCAGUAAGCUAAAGCUAAACAUUAAUAAUUUUUAACUUUACCUUUUAUUGACAAACCCAAUAAACUGUUCAAGUAAAAUUCAGUCUUUGGCAAGUUACAAUAUAAUUUGAAUUGUGCAAAUCCUUGUCUUUAUACCAGAAGUAGGGCUCAGUUAAUGUUUAAGUGCUAAUUCCUCUUAUCAAAGGAAAACACUACAAUAAAGACAUUUGUCAACUGAACAGUUAAAAAGCUUUUUCAUGGUUCUUCUCUGUAUUAAACAUUAGCUGGCUUUGCUUUUUUUUUUUUUUUAGAUUUAUUUACUUAUUUUAGAGAGAGAAUGCAAGCAGGAGAGGCAGAGGGAAAGGAAGAGAGAAUCUCAAGCAGGCUCCACCCUGAGUGCAAGCCUGAUGCAGGGCUGGAUCCCAGGACCCCAAGAGCAUUACCUGAGCCAAAACCAAGAGCUGGCCGCUUCACUGGCUGCCACCCAUGCACCCUGUGGCUUUGUCUUUUCUUAAAAAAUCUGCACGUGAGGCUGCACGUGGUGCCCUGACUGCUGGUGUCAGUGAUAUUUAACGUGGGCACCACCGUUCUUGACAUCUCGGCUUUCAUCACCUGCUCUACUGCCCUUGAGCUGACGUCCCUGAAGGGCACCCUGCCGAGUAACCAGUGGACAGCUGC
Molecule: long non-coding RNA, 1065 nt
Filed under: Ursus maritimus (polar bear)
Lineage: Eukaryota; Metazoa; Chordata; Mammalia; Carnivora; Ursidae
Description: lncRNA (ENSUMAG00000013513.1)
Source: RNAcentral